GACAGAGGGUGCAAACGUUGUUCGGAUUUACUGGGCGUAAAGCGCGUGUAGGCGGCUUGGCAAGUCGGAUGUGAAAGCCCACGGCUCAACCGUGGAAGCGCAUCCGAAACGGCCUCGCUCGAGUCUCGGAGAGGAAGGUGGAAUGCUUGGUGUAGAGGUGAAAUUCGUAGAUAUCAAGAGGAACACCUGCGGCGAAGGCGGCCUUCUGGACGAUGACUGACGCUGAGACGCGAAAGCGUGGGGAGCAAACAGG
RNAcentral lists this ribosomal RNA (253 nucleotides) under uncultured bacterium. Its description in RNAcentral is "partial 16S ribosomal RNA". It matches the Rfam family "Bacterial small subunit ribosomal RNA", at positions 524 to 776 of the family's 1533-position model. The record is from RNAcentral.